AUAAAGACAAAGAAGGAAUGGAGUAAUUUAUGUAACAUGUUGAAAGAGAACUUGUGGUUGGUGCAAACAAGUCAUGAACAUAAAUGAAUUGGGAUUCUGGAGUUAUAGAUGGCAUCAGUCAUUUAUCGUUAAUCGCGUUAAGAUGAAAGUGCAUAUCAAAUGAUAUGAAUAAAGGUGGUACCGCGUUCAAACGUCCUUUUU
Molecule: non-coding RNA, 201 nt
Filed under: Coprobacillus sp.
Lineage: Bacteria; Bacillati; Bacillota; Erysipelotrichia; Erysipelotrichales; Coprobacillaceae
Description: T-box sequence
Rfam family: T-box leader
About the family: Uncharged tRNA acts as the effector for transcription antitermination of genes in the T-box leader family. T-boxes are found upstream of many aminoacyl-tRNA synthetase genes and some amino acid biosynthetic genes usually in Gram-positive bacteria.
Source: RNAcentral